AAUCAACGCUGGCGGCGUGCCUAACACAUGCAAGUCGAACGCGAAAGUGGAGCAAUCCAUGAGUAGAGUGGCAAACGGGUGAGUAACGCGUGGGUGAUCUACCUCUGAGUGGGGGAUAACCUUCCGAAAGGAGGGCUAAUACCGCAUCACAUUGCGCUCUUGGAUGAGUGCGUAUCAAAGCUGGCAACCCGCAAGGGUCUGGCGCUUGGAGAGGAGCCCGCGCCUGAUUAGCUAGUUGGUGGGGUAAUGGCCUACCAAGGCGACGAUCAGUAGCCGGCCUGAGAGGGCGGACGGCCACACUGGGACUGAGACACGGCCCAGACUCCUACGGGAGGCAGCAGUGGGGAAUUGUUCGCAAUGGGCGCAAGCCUGACGACGCAACGCCGCGUGGAGGAUGAAGAAUUUCGGUUCGUAAACUCCUGUCGAGCGGGACGAAAGAUGCGCGGGUUAAUACCCCGUGCAAGUGACGGUACCGAUUGAGGAAGCCACGGCUAACUCUGUGCCAGCAGCCGCGGUAAUACAGAGGUGGCAAGCGUUGUUCGGAAUUACUGGGCGUAAAGGGCGCGUAGGCGGUCGCCUAAGUCGGACGUGAAAUCCCCAAGCUUAACUUGGGAACUGCGUUCGAUACUGGGUGACUUGAGUUCGGGAGAGGAAUGUGGAAUCCAGGUGUAG
Molecule: ribosomal RNA, 672 nt
Filed under: uncultured bacterium
Lineage: Bacteria
Description: bacterial SSU rRNA
Rfam family: Bacterial small subunit ribosomal RNA
Source: RNAcentral